AUGGGCAUUGGGCGUCCAGUCCAGCUGACACCUGCUGGUUUCUGUUCCUGGCAGAUCCUCCAAGUCCCUGGGUGUGACUUGGAGCAAGCCUCAAGAUCACGACCCAAGGCUGGUCUGCAGAAGGGCUGUGAGUGGACGCAAGGCUCACUCCUGCACAGAGGCUCUUGUGACAUCUUGCACAACACAGGCCACUGUCACCUACUGCACGGAGUCACGGCUGAGGUUACCACGUCGAGUCACCGGCAUCGUCAACAAAGUCGAUCUUGUCCUUUGGAAAGGGGCGCUGAUGGGACGGGACAGGAGGACCAGGUCCCCAGCUGCCUACCCCUUCAUGAGGACAGGGAACCCCCAUCUGACUGCUCCUCUCUCCCCCUGCUCCACCCACCUCAAUACCCAGACAGACACGACAGAAGCCACCUCAUGGAGUUCUUUUGGGGCCACUGACGUCGCUGAUGCGCAGAAUGAAUCACCCAGCCUGACACAGUAAGUGUUCCAUAAAUACGAGGUUUGGUUGAAAAAUACGGUGACUGUUUAAGUAAGCAGAUGCGUUACUGUAAAAGACACAUCGUUUCCAUUAGUUCGCUUCAGAACAUGCCCUGUUGCUUCCAAAACUCUUCCAACCAUUCUUGCCCCUUGUGGAGGCAGCUGUGGAAGUGCUCUUCGGUGAGUGUCUUUAGGGUGCUGUUACAUGUACCUUGACGUCCAGAGUCUGUUCAAAGCAUUUACCCUUCCUGGUCAUUUUGAUUUUGAAAAGAGCCAGAGGUUUGCACGGUGCCAGAUCCAGUGGAUAAAGUGCUCGAGGACACACAGUAACGUCUUCGGGAGCCUGACUUUCCAUCGGAUGGCAGUGGACUGCAGCGUUCACCGUGUUCGUAUCACACCUUGUGUGUCAGUUACUGUUCCUGUUGUUGAGACAAAACACUCCACACCCAAGGUUAAAGGAGGAAAGGUUUAUUUGAGCGCACAGUCUGCAGAGGCCUCAGCCCAUAGUUUUUUUGUUCCAAGGCAGGGCAGCAUGGCAGAGGAGUCUAUGGCAGGGAAGGCAGGAGGCAGCAAGCAGCAGCAGCACCCUGCUUUCCCUCUCUCCCUUUCUAUCCCUUCCCGGCAGUAAGACUAUGCGGUGGAGCUUCCAUUUUCCACACUCUCAGUCCCAGAAUCACACCCUUAAUCUACUUUCACACACCCCAGUACGGUGACACACAAGGCUCUGGGGAGACCGCUUAGACAUAAGCCAUAACAGCUCCUAAAGAUUCUCGUGAAGGACGAUUACCAGACGCUUCAGAAAGCUGGAACAAUGGGAUAAGUGUGUUGGAAGUGAGGGGGAGCAUUUUGAGAGACAUCAAUGGCGAUGUGUUAUAAUUUUUAAAGUGUAAACGUCCAUUAUACAUUUUGAUCACACCUCGUAGCAUUACUGUAGAAAAUACAAAAACACACAGUGCUCUAAGAUGGAAGGCAUACCCACCACAAGUUUCAGUCAGACGGGAUGAGUAAGUUCCAGAGAGCUGCUGAACAGUGCAGUGAGGUGCUUAGUAAUAACGCACUGUAUACUUGAAAGACAGAUCUAUGAAGACAGAUGCUAGAAUACACUCACACACACACAUGCAC
This 1605-nucleotide long non-coding RNA is filed under the name Fukomys damarensis (Damara mole-rat). Its description in RNAcentral is "lncRNA (ENSFDAG00000033557.1)". Lineage: Eukaryota; Metazoa; Chordata; Mammalia; Rodentia; Bathyergidae. The record is from RNAcentral.